GACGAACGCUGGCGGCGUGCUUAACACAUGCAAGUCGAACGGAAAGGCCCUGCGUUCGUGGGGUUCUCGAGUGCCGAACGGGUGAGUAACACGUGAGUAACCUGCCCUUGACUUUGGGAUAACUUCAGGAAACUGGGGCUAAGAUCGGAUAGCAGCUCCUGUUGCAUGGUGGGCGUGGGAAAGUUUCGGCGGUUGGGGAUGGACGGGCGGCUUACCAGCUUGUUGGUGGGGGAGUGGCUUACCAAGGCUUUGACCGGUAGCCGGCCUGGGAGGGUGGCCGGCCACAUUACGCCUGCGGGAGGGCCCAGACUGCAAUGGGAGGCAACAGUGGGGAGUAUUGCACAGUGAGCCGGAGCCUGAGGCGGAGGCGCCGCGUGCGGGAUGCCCGCCUUCGGGUUGUGAACAGCAUUCGCCUGAGACGAAGCGUGAGUGACGGUAAUGAAUAAAGAAGCACCGGCUAACUACGUG
RNAcentral lists this ribosomal RNA (468 nucleotides) under uncultured bacterium. RNAcentral describes it as "partial 16S ribosomal RNA". It matches the Rfam family "Bacterial small subunit ribosomal RNA", at positions 28 to 507 of the family's 1533-position model. The record is from RNAcentral.